Molecule: ribosomal RNA, 253 nt
Filed under: uncultured bacterium
Lineage: Bacteria
Description: partial 16S ribosomal RNA
Rfam family: Bacterial small subunit ribosomal RNA
Source: RNAcentral
UACGUAGGGUGCAAGCGUUGUCUGGAAUUAUUGGGCGUAAAGAGCUCGUAGGCGGUUUGUCGCGUCUGCUGUGAAAACCCGAGGCUCAACCUCGGGCCUGCAGUGGGUACGGGCAGACUAGAGUGCGGUAGGGGAGAUUGGAAUUCCUGGUGUAGCGGUGGAAUGCGCAGAUAUCAGGAGGAACACCAAUGGCGAAGGCAGAUCUCUGGGCCGUAACUGACGCUGAGGAGCGAAAGCAUGGGGAGCGAACAGG